This 1769-nucleotide long non-coding RNA is filed under the name Marmota monax (woodchuck). The record is from RNAcentral. Lineage: Eukaryota; Metazoa; Chordata; Mammalia; Rodentia; Sciuridae.
ACGGAACAAUUAAGCCUGAUAUAAAUUUCAUAUUUACCCACAUUUCAGUUUCUAAAUGAGGAGAAGUAGGUAAAAACAAAACUGGACCCAGCUGAACUGCAAUAUGUAGAAAUAUACAGAGUGCACCCCUGUGAACCUCAGUUCUGUCAACUCCUUCAGUUCUAUGUGUGUUGACAACAUUCAUCUGCCUCAAGUGUUACCAACUUUUCCACCUACUUUUAGAGAACCCUCCCUCCAAUGCUUUGUAGUAACUCAAGCAGCAACCUUCCUGUCACCCUCAGGUAUACGUCAGGUCUUUUUAAAAAUGAAGGGUCAUAUUUAUAGAAUUAUAUAUUCCUUAACCAUAUAACAUGUAAAGCAUAUUAUUUUCUUUUUUGUGUGUCAUAAAGAUUUUGAUUUUUGUGCCCUUAACCUGACCAUUUUUUUCCCCCAAAGUUCUGUUUUCUUAAUGAUGUGAUUUUGCACAGUGUGGCAAUUUUUGGAAAUGCUUGUGUUAUAGUAAAACUGACAUUCUACAUUCAAAGACGUCCUACUAUAAUUCACAUUAAGACAGGAAAUGAUAAAAUAAUCAGCAUUGGACUCAGAAAACAGGAAUUUAAGUUGGUCUAUUACCAUUUGCUAAUCAUAAUAGCUUGCCUAAGGCCCUUAAGUUAUCUGAGCCCAAAUUGUUGUCUGUAAAUUGGAGCUGAUGGUAACUGAUGUCCUUUUAGGGUUAUUCUUACUUUCAAACAAGACAGUUUGUGCAAACACUUUGUAAAAUUAUCACUGUAGAAAUAAAGUUUGAAAAUGUCGAUAGUGGUAAAAAGACACCUUUUGGACCAAUUUUAAGAUGAGAUGAUUAUGACAUUUUUCUGAGUGAAUGGACACAUUUUUUUUUUUUGCCUUGAAAGCCCAUUGUGCUCUAGAAUUCUGUACCACAUUAACAGUGUACAUGAGCAGUGAUUAAUGUCAUUGUGACAUUUGUUUGUUGAAAGCAACUGAGUCUUAAUUUACAUGUUUAUAAAAUUAACUGCAAGAGAACAUCAGAAGAGGAAGAGUUUAGUUCUGAAGUUUUUUUGUCAGUGUAAAACAAUCAGUAUUAUGUUUUCAAAUUAAAUAGCCCAUAAAAAUGGAUUUCUCCUAACUAGAAACCUAAAUCUUAGUUUUAUAAUAAAUUUUAAACUUUGUUUACUAACUUCAAUUUUUAACCUCUUAAGAAUCUUUAUUUAGAAAAUACUACCCACUAUGUUCUAGCUUAGAUACUGGGGGGAUAAAACAGCCACUAAGACACAAUUUCUUCCCGUGAUGGGAUUUUUGGUUCAGUAAACAAUCACAUAGUUUCAUACAUUUUAUGGAGGAAACUACUAGAUAUUAUUACAGUAUGCCGGUCCAUUGGCAGGUAGGAAAGGAUUCUUGGGAGCUAUUUAUAUAAGAAUUACCUGGGCUUAAGGGAAGGGUGAGGGACAUAAAUUGUAGACAGAGUAGUUGGUAUAGGGGAGAAAACACAUUUAAUUAAGACUGUAGCAUCCUGGAGAAACCAAAGUUUCAGAAUGGCUAAGUCAUAAAUUAUUAGGCAAGAAAUGAAUAGAGGCAUAGGAAGAAGUCAGGUUAUAGGUCAUGCUGAAAAGUUUUUAGUAUUCUGAAAAGAGCAAAUACCCAGUAGGGAUUUUAAACAUAAUUAUUGGUAAAUUGAAUUUAGAAAAAUGGACAGAGUUUGAAGAGAGAACAGUGGUGAAUUUAGCAUGUUCAUUGAAGUAUUCCUUUUGAUUAGUUUUUUUUUUCUAACUAAA